This is a non-coding RNA of Acanthosepion pharaonis, 108 nucleotides long. Lineage: Eukaryota; Metazoa; Mollusca; Cephalopoda; Sepiida; Sepiidae. The record is from the annotation of a GenBank genome assembly.
AUGGCCACAUCACAUUAAAAUACUGGUUCCCAUAUGGUCACCAAAGUUAAGCAAUGUCAAGCCUGCUCAAUACCUUGAUGAGUGACCACUUGGGAAUAUCAGGGGCCA